Molecule: long non-coding RNA, 651 nt
Organism: Acanthochromis polyacanthus (spiny chromis)
Lineage: Eukaryota; Metazoa; Chordata; Actinopteri; Pomacentridae
Exons: 3
Source: RefSeq, a predicted model, not a curated record
AAGUGUUUGCUUUGAGGUUGGCUCUCAUUUCCCUCUCCUCCGUCUCUAUUAAAGUCGUUCCUCAUCUGUUGGUGAGCAACAGGGGGAAGCAGACGUGGAAAAAAACAAAUUGAAAUGCUGUUUUCCAAAGUUUGAACUCGAGCUUGUCUUUCCAGCUCUGUACACAACCUCUAAAUUGAACUUUCCGAUGCAAAAUAAGAUACAAAGAAUGAGGUCGAGCUCUUUCCUGUAUUAACCAAAAUUGUAUAAAGCUGCGGUGAGGUCAGAGCUGAAGUUUCAGUAAACCAGGACAAGGUGAGGGGACUUAACAAAGAGCCGGCUGAGCGAGGACAACAUACCAUACAUGGACACGGAAUGAUAUACAAGGGUGGAAAGAAUGGAAUGCAAACUUCCCAAGAUACAGUAAAGAGCAGGACAGAACUGGGACUGUGCAUUUAUAUGAACAACUCCUGGUGCAUGGACGUCACAGUGGUGGAUAAAGAGUGCAGUCCAGAUGCGGAAAUCAUGCUGCUAAAGUGCCGGCCAUUUUAUCUCCCGAGGGAGUUCACUGCUGUUUAUAUCUGUGCUGUGUAUAUUCCACCGGACGCUAAUGCCAAGCUAGCGCUAGCACAGGUCUAUGCAGUGUAUGAAUGCUCUGAACGAAAAUUUCAU